Molecule: unclassified non-coding RNA, 1362 nt
Filed under: Daphnia magna
Lineage: Eukaryota; Metazoa; Arthropoda; Branchiopoda; Diplostraca; Daphniidae
Description: sulfotransferase 1C1, transcript variant X3
Source: RNAcentral
AAUUAUUUACUUUCGUUUUUGUUUAUUUACGUAGGAAAGAUAAGGAACAUUGAAACGAGUCUGUCUUUCUCAAGACUGGACGUUACACUGCGCUGCAGAGUUCCUGUUUAUUUGCAUUACAGGUAGAAAGUUACGUGAUGGCAUGUGCUAAUCUAGCGCUAACCUGAACUAGGAAAUAUCGGCAUUAUUAUUUGAACACUAACGUAUCAUUAGAUUGCCGUUAACCACAAGCGAGGCCUUCGGUGGUGUUAUACUUUGGAUUUUUACGCACUGAUGCAGCUAGCCUCAAUUUCUUUUUCUAAAUGUUGGAUACUAGAGAUCGGCGAAACCACGCGAAAAUUUGAAAGUUCUCAGUUUUUGCUUCUAUUAUUGAACAUGUUCUUCUCCGAUAAACCUGUCUUCCCGUUGAAAUCGGGUGUCAAAUUCAGUGUUAUACCCGAAACACUAGAGAGUCCCUUUAAAGAACAUUUUCCAGCUUACUACAAAGGACUAGUUCGUGGAGAACCCGGUGGAUUUGUCCUGCAUCCGAAAUUUGUCAGCAAUGCGGACAAGAUUUACAAUAUGACAGUUAGAAGUACCGACCUUUGGAUCCGGACUUUCCCGAGAUCUGGAAUGACUUGGACAUCUGAAUUGGCUUGGCUCAUUAUGAAUGAUUGCAAUUUUAGUGAAGCUCUUGAAGUGCCACUGAGUGUUCGUUCCCACACUGUCGAUACAAAUUAUUUUACCAAUUGGGACGUUCUUGCUCCUUCAGAGAUAAUGGAUGCACGUCAUUGUCAAUCUAUCGAAAAGAUGGAACAGCUGCCGUCGCCCAGAAUUUUAAAAUCUCAUUUACCUUUCCACUUGUUGCCUCCACGAUUGCUCAACACUGCCAAAGUCAUUUUCGUUGUCCGCAAUCCCAAAGACGCCAUAGUUUCCUUCUUCCACUUUCACAAGUUGGUGAAACUAUGUUACUUUGCCGGAGAAAUGGAUCAGUUUGUUGACUAUUUUAUCGACAACAAAGUGGCAUGGACUCCAUAUUUCUCCUCUGUUCUUGAUGCUUGGGGGAAACGUAAUCACCCCAAUCUGCUAAUUUUAUUCUACGAAGACAUGAUCAAGAACGGUGACUGAAGAACAAAUAGGAAAACUGGUGGAUCACGUUCGUGUCGAUUCGCAAAGGGAUCGGCCCAACAUUUCAAUUAAGGCCAGCGUGACAAAUAAUGAUUGUUUAUUCAUUCGGCAAGGAAAAACAAACGACUGGAAGAAUUAUUUUAGUCCAGAAGUUAAUGUUAAAAUUGACGAGUGGAUCAAGAACAAUUUGGAUGGGAGCGAUUUGAAUUUUGCCACUGUUCUCCAGAAUUAACACGAAUUCAAAGUAUCAUUUUA